UGGGGAAUCUUCCGCAAUGGACGAAAGUCUGACGGAGCAACGCCGCGUGAACGAUGACGGCCUUCGGGUUGUAAAGUUCUGUUAUACGGGACGAAUGGUACGACGGUCAAUACCCGUCGUAAGUGACGGUACCGUAAGAGAAAGCCACGGCUAACUACGUGCCAGCAGCCGCGGUAAUACGUAGGUGGCAAGCGUUGUCCGGAAUUAUUGGGCGUAAAGGGCGCGCAGGCGGCGUCGUAAGUCGGUCUUAAAAGUGCGGGGCUUAACCCCGUGAGGGGACCGAAACUGCGAUGCUAGAGUAUCGGAGAGGAAAGCGGAAUUCCUAGUGUAGCGGUGAAAUGCGUAGAUAUUAGGAGGAACACCAGUGGCGAAAGCGGCUUUCUGGACGACAACUGACGCUGAGGCGCGAAAGCCAGGGGAGCAAACG
This 427-nucleotide ribosomal RNA is filed under the name uncultured bacterium. Its description in RNAcentral is "bacterial SSU rRNA". It matches the Rfam family "Bacterial small subunit ribosomal RNA", at positions 355 to 774 of the family's 1533-position model. The record is from RNAcentral.